CAGUAUUUUGUAUUUUUAUCAGAAAUUUCAAGCAUCUACAUUGCCAUUGGUUGAUUAUCAAAACUCUGCAGACAAGAGAAUUCAAAACUGAUGAUUUAAAAGUUUACAAUUUCACUCUGGACAUUUGACAAAUUAUUUGCACCAUUAGCAAAAGGAAAAUGAAGUUACCUUUUAUUUGAUAUGAAAGAGGUAUUGAAUUUAUGCAGAAUGAAAUCUCUUCUCUAUAAUAGAUGAAAAAGAAAAAAAACUAGGGCAAGACUAUUAAAAUUUGUGAAUCUGUAUACAAUUUUAUUAAAUGGUAUCGAAUAGAUAGCUAAACAAACUUUUAUUAUGGAUUAUAGUUCCAUUAGAAUUUAAUUUGGAUUAAUGAUCAAGAUAAACGUAUAAAAGAGUGUAUAAACCCAUAUUCAAUUAUAAUUUGUUAAGGAUCAAUUAUUUAACUACAUUUAUGUUGAUUAACAUAAAUGCAUGAAGCAUAUUGCAACUUGCCAAUAGAAAAAUCAGUUUUGAUAAUAACAACUGAAAUUCAACAAAUUCUGAACAACAGUUGCAAUUUCUUAAAUUAGGUGAAUUCUGGCCUGCAUUAAGCAAACUUGAAGCAUACUUAACUCAGGUGGUUGGAUCACGGAUGUAUGUUUAAGCUGCACAUAGACAUCAAAUGCCUACUUUGCACCAGGUGCAUGUGAUGGAGUAGAUCAAUUUAUCCAACUCAGAGUUGCCUACUUUUGUUUCCAUUAAACAGGCAGCAAUUUUGAACCAGUAGUUGGACUACAACAAAAUCAAAUUGCCAUGCAGCCUUUACCUAGGAAAAUGA
This is a long non-coding RNA of Amblyraja radiata (thorny skate), 814 nucleotides long. RefSeq lists it as uncharacterized. Lineage: Eukaryota; Metazoa; Chordata; Chondrichthyes; Rajiformes; Rajidae. The transcript is spliced from 3 exons. The record is from RefSeq and is a predicted model, not a curated record.